This 430-nucleotide ribosomal RNA is filed under the name uncultured bacterium. RNAcentral's name for it is "bacterial SSU rRNA". It matches the Rfam family "Bacterial small subunit ribosomal RNA", at positions 355 to 775 of the family's 1533-position model. The record is from RNAcentral.
UGGGGAAUAUUGGACAAUGGGCGCAAGCCUGAUCCAGCCACGCCGCGUGAGUGAUGAAGGCCUUCGGGUCGUAAAGCUCUGUGGGGAGGGACGAAUAAACUGCGGGUAAAUAAUCCGCGGCCACGACGGUACCUCCUUAGCAAGCCCCGGCAAACUUCGUGCCAGCAGCCGCGGUAAUACGGGGGGGGCAAACGUUGCUCGGAAUCACUGGGCGUAAAGCGUGUGUAGGCGGUCCAACUUGUCGAAUGUGAAAUACCUUGGCUUAACCAAGGAACUGCAUUGGAAACGGUUGGACUUGAGUACCGGAGGGGAUGACGGAAUUCCCGGUGUAGUGGUGAAAUACGUAGAUAUCGGGAGGAACACCUGUGGCGAAGGCGGUCAUCUGGACGGAUACUGACGCUGAGUACACGAAAGCGUGGGGAGCAAACAG